GACGAACGCUGGCGGCGUGCUUAACACAUGCAAGUCGAACGGUGAUCUUGAGAGCUUGCUCUUGGGUGAUCAGUGGCGAACGGGUGAGUAACACGUGAGCAACCUGCCCCAGACUCUGGAAUAACCCCGGGAAACCGGAGCUAAUACCGGAUACGACACUGGCCCGCAUGGGUAUGGUGUGGAAAGUUUUUCGGUCUGGGAUGGGCUCGCGGCCUAUCAGCUUGUUGGUGAGGUAGUGGCUCACCAAGGCGACGACGGGUAGCCGGCCUGAGAGGGCGACCGGCCACACUGGGACUGAGACACGGCCCAGACUCCUACGGGAGGCAGCAGUGGGGAAUAUUGCACAAUGGGCGCAAGCCUGAUGCAGCGACGCCGCGUGAGGGAUGACGGCCUUCGGGUUGUAAACCUCUUUCAGCAGGGAAGAAGCGCAAGUGACGGUACCUGCAGAAGAAGCACCGGCUAACUACGUGCCAGCAGCCGCGGUAAUACGUAGGGUGCGAUCGUUGUCCGGAAUUAUUGGGCGUAAAGAGCUUGUAGGCGGUUUGUCGCGUCUGCUGUGAAAAUCCGGGGCUCAACCCCGGACUUGCAGUGGGUACGGGCAGGCUAGAGUGUGGUAGGGGAGACUGGAAUUCCUGGUGUAGCGGUGAAAUGCGCAGAUAUCAGGAGGAACACCGAUGGCGAAGGCAGGUCUCUGGGCCACUACUGACGCUGAGAAGCGAAAGCAUGGGGAGCGAACAGGAUUAGAUACCCUGGUAGUCCAUGCCGUAAACGUUGGGAACUAGGUGUGGGUCUCAUUCCACGAGAUCCGUGCCGCAGCUAACGCAUUAAGUUCCCCGCCUGGGGAGUACGGCCGCAAGGCUA
RNAcentral lists this ribosomal RNA (861 nucleotides) under uncultured bacterium. RNAcentral's name for it is "bacterial SSU rRNA". It matches the Rfam family "Bacterial small subunit ribosomal RNA", at positions 28 to 896 of the family's 1533-position model. The record is from RNAcentral.